This 21-nucleotide microRNA is filed under the name Ciona intestinalis (vase tunicate). RNAcentral describes it as "cin-miR-4100-5p". The record is from miRBase by way of RNAcentral. Lineage: Eukaryota; Metazoa; Chordata; Ascidiacea; Phlebobranchia; Cionidae.
UGAGCUUUCGUCUUAUGAUUG